CAGCCGCCACGGUAAUACGGAGGGGGCUAGCGUUGUUCGGAAUUACUGGGCGUAAAGCGCACGUAGGCGGCUUGGUAAGUUAGAGGUGAAAGCCUGGAGCUCAACUCCAGAAUUGUCUUUAAGACUGCCGAGCUAGCAGGUGAGAGAGGUAAGUGGAAUUCCGAGUGUAGAGGUGAAAUUCGUAGAUAUUCGGAAGAACACCAGUGGCGAAGGCGGCUUACUGGCUCAUACUGGACGCUGAGGUGCGAAAGCGUGGGGAGCAAACAGGAUUAGAUACCCGCGUAGUCCCUGUCUCUUAUAC
This 301-nucleotide ribosomal RNA is filed under the name uncultured bacterium. RNAcentral describes it as "partial 16S ribosomal RNA". It matches the Rfam family "Bacterial small subunit ribosomal RNA", at positions 509 to 807 of the family's 1533-position model. The record is from RNAcentral.